Molecule: ribosomal RNA, 433 nt
Filed under: uncultured bacterium
Lineage: Bacteria
Description: partial 16S ribosomal RNA
Rfam family: Bacterial small subunit ribosomal RNA
Source: RNAcentral
AACGAACGCUGGCGGCAGGCCUAACACAUGCAAGUCGAGCGAGGACUUCGGUUCUAGCGGCGGACGGGUGAGUAACGCGUGGGAAUGUGCCCUUCUCUACGGAAUAGCCCUGGGAAACUGGGAGUAAUACCGUAUACGCCCUAUUGGGGAAAGAUUUCUCGGAGAAGGAGCAGCCCGCGUUGUAUUAGGUAGUUGGUGGGGUAAUGGCCUACCAAGCCGACGAUCCAUAGCUGGUUUGAGAGGAUGAUCAGCCACACUGGGACUGAGCCACGGCCCAGACUCCUACGGGAGGCAGCAGUGGGGAAUCUUAGACAACGGGGGCAACCCUGAACUAGCCAUGCCGCGUGAGUGAUGAAGGCCUUAGGGUUGUAAAGCUCUUUCAGCUGGGAAGAUACUGACGGUACCAGCAGAAGAAGCCCCGGCUAACUCCGUG